ACGUACAGUCUGUAUUUCCUGGACCACCUGGUCAAGGCCCUGCAGAAGAUGUGCCUGCAUGAGCUCACCGUCCCCGUCCUGCAGCUGGGGGUGCUGAUUUCGGAGUCCGUGGUGGGAAGCAAGGGCCUGGCGGAUCUCUACCGCCUCCGCCUCGCCCACGUGUGCUCCGAGCUGAAGCUGACGGAGGCAGCGGCACAGCACGAAGAGGCGGUCGGGCAGGUGCACAUCAGUGAGCUGGAGCAGGCCAGCUGCAGAAAAGAGAUCGCACUGAAAAAAGAGAAAAACAAGGAGCCCUCAUUAGAAGAAAGCCUGCCGGUGCUCAGCCAGCAGACCCUCACCGCCCGCUCUGUCGAGAUCAAACCACUGGAAGCCAAGGACAAGAUUUUGAAGAUGAAUGGGGAGACUGGGAGGGGCCUCGAUGGGACGUCCUAUCCGCACCUGUGGCUUCUGAAGGCAGAGGUUCUGCUGGAGAUGAGCCUGUACCAGCCUGCACGGCUGCUCCUGUCCGAGGCGAACCUGGCUUUCCAGGAGCUGGAUGAGCCUUGCGCAGAGGCCCGGUGCCUGUUCCUCCUGGCACAGCUGGCCAACAGGGAGAAGAACUAUGGACAAGCCAAGAGAAUGAUCGCACAGGCCCAGCACCUGGGCGGGAACGAGGAGUUCUGGUACGAUUCCACGCUGACCCUGGCAGAGGCGCUCUUGUCGACGGAACACCCAGGACGAGAAGCUACGGUGUGCCACAUAUUCCAGAAGCUCAUCAGUGCCCUCAAGAUUCUCAAGAAAGAAAGACCAAACCGAAUGCCGUUGUUAGAAUUCAUGAUCACAGACCUAGAAGCCAGGUGCCUGAGCCUGCGGGUCAGAGUUGCACAGGAGUCUGCUGUCACGGAACCCACAGAGUGCUCGCUGCUGCUGAAGGAGCUGGACGACAGCUUGUUGGAUAUUGAGAGAAGGUUUAUUGACUGUGGCUACAAAGAGAAUUGUGUUGACGUCAAACUAGAGCGUGCGAAGAUCAAGAGGUUACGUGCCCAGAACGAGAAAGAUGAAGAACAGAAAACUGCAUAUUACUUGGAGGCGUAUGGCCUGGCGCAGAGCGCUGUGGCUGAGGAAGAAGAGAGGUUCCAGAGCAUCCGGGCCUUGUUGUUGCUUCACAAUGUGCAGAACGUCAACACGCCUCUGAUGAGGAAGCUGGCGCGCCUCAAACUCGGCCUGGUGGAGAUGGCUCUGGGCAUGCUCCAGUUCAUCUGGGAGGGGGCCCGCGGGCCGCGGAGCGAGCAGGGGUCCCUGGAGAAGCUGCUGGCAGAGUAUCUGCAGAACACCAGCGACGACACUUCCGUUGGCCUGCAAUGGUUCACGCUGAAGCGCACCCUGGCACACGGGGCACUGGCGCAGCUGGGGAGCCUGCAGCCGCUGAGUGUGGGCUGCGUGGAGAUCCGUGCCCGGCUCCUGGGACUGGCCGGGAGGGCCAUCCACCUGCUGGCCGUGCAAGCCGACCCUGUGCGCCCCGCCUGCUACUGGGAGGAGGAACCCUCGGUGGGCGCCAAGCUGAGCAACCUCAGGUCUCUGGAGCUGGAAGCAGAGGAAGAGGAUGCCACAAAGUCCAGCAGGGACCUGCCAGCCUCCAGGGCGGCCCUGGAGGAGCACAGCAGGAGACGCGGGGACCUGAAGAGGAGGAUGGUUCUGGCCCAGCGGUACCUGGCACAGGCGUCAGAGGUGUUGCUGCAGUGCCUACACGUGGCCCUUGGCAGUGGCCUCCUGGACGUGGCGGCAGCCGCCAGCCUGGAGAUGGUGGAGUGCAUCGGCGCCCUGGACCCUGCUACUACCUGCCAGUUCCUGGCGCUGUCUCAGAGCUGCUCGGCCUCAGAGACGAUGAGGGAUGUCCUGCUCGCAGCCACGGCCGACACCAGCAGCUCCCAGCUGGCGGCCCUUCUGCAGCUGCAGCAGCAGCUCCGGCGCCAGGACAGGACCACCACCGGCCUGGGCGCCAGCGUGGAGCAGAGGCUGGCUGCUGUGUCCAAGGCUUGGCAAAACCUCUGCGUCACUGAGCAGCAUUUUAACCUCUUGAAUGAGAUACCUCCCACCUUUCGGCUGCUCUUUCUGCAGCUGUCACCGGACAGGUCCCAUCUGUACAGCGCUGCCUAUGAGAAACCCAAGUUCAUUCCUGUGGCCAAAGGAAAGGUGCAGCACGUCGGAGGCCCCUGCAAGGUGAUGCGGCUGGCUGUGAGUCCCACCGCCUUCUCCCACCUGCUGGCCUGUGCCCAGGAGUUCCGGCAGGAGAUGCAGGCCCAGGUGUACACAGAGGACCUGCUGCAGAGCACAGGCUCGGAGCCAGAAGGCCUGCAGGCGGAAGAGAAGCAGCCCGCGGUGCACAGUCCCCGCAGCGUCCUGGAGGCCCUGGAGGAGCUUCUGCGGCCGCUCUUCCCCGUGCUCGGUGUCCCCGAGGCCAGAGUGCAGAUGCCCGUGAUGGUUGCAGAUUCAGGGAAGCCCAAGGGUAAAGACAAGGAGAGGAAACCGUCCACAGGGCCACAGAACACAGCCCAGCCCGAGGUGGCUGAUAAGAUCGUCCUGGUCGCAGACAGAGAUCUCCUGGAGCUGCCACUGGAAGGUCUCUCCGUGUUCGAUGAGGGGACAAUUUCCUCUGUGUCACGAGAAUUUUCUCUCCAAAUGUUAUGGAAUCGCCUCCGUAAAGAAGAGACAGAAGGUGGCGUGAAAAAGGAGGGGAGAAGCAGAGACCCCAAGAAGAGAAGCCUGUCGAAGAAGGGCAAGAAGGGCAGCUUCCCCCGGGUCAUACCCCCCGACAGCAUCCUGGUCGACUCGGACAACUUCAAGUUCAUCGUGGACCCGUAUGAGGAAGCCCAGGGCCCAGAAAUGCUGACUCCUGUCUCCAUCACCCAAGAAAUUUUGGAAAGAUUCCAAGACACGUUCACGUCGCGAUGGGUGGGACAUCUGGGGAGCAAGCAGUUUCCCAGCCAGGCCCAGUGGGAGCAGGCUCUGGGCAGCUGCAGCGGCUUCUUCUUCUAUGGGAUGGAGCGCCUCCUGUCCCAUAUAUUAGUGGAGAGAUUGGUCGCCAUGAACUUGCAAGAGUGCCAGGUGCUGGUCGUGCUGGACCUGGCGCGGUCCUACCAGAGCAUGAGGCGGCACAUGGAGAGCCCGGAGCACAGGAGUGCCUCAAAGCCAUCCCUGGAGGAUCCCGUCAACGUGGCCAUCCUGCUGAGCCUGGUGGGGGUCAAGAGCAUCCUGGCGAACCAGUGGUCCACACUGCUGCAGGACAACGCGCUGCGGGCCAGCGUCCUUUGGGAAAAUCUGUUGGCCGUGGGGAAGCCGGUUGGAGAAACCGUGCGCCUCCUUCAGGAGAUGAGCGGGGAUGAGGCGGUGAACCAAGGUGAGGGCGGCAGCCGGCACGCGGGUCCCCCAGCGUGGACACGCGCUCCCCACAGCCCUCCAGGGACAGGGUCUCGGCUUCCCCGUGGGGAACUGGGAUUCCAGACACUGACUAGGAGCCAGAAAGAGGAGGCUUGUUCUUGCCUGGAAGUGGCCUGCGUCUCUGCACUGCCCCGGGCACCCCCCACCCCCCGCAGUGGCAUGAGCCUCCGUGGUGACACCUGCGACUCCGUGUGGCUCCAGAACCCACAGGGAAAGCAUCGCGGUCAUCGAAGACCGCGACAGCGCCAAUCACACGAAUCCUGCGAGCCCGGGGCUCUCUGGGAACCAGUGGGAGAUCCAGGGGGCAGCUGUGCCAAGCCCCUCCCACAGUGAGGUCCGGACGGCCCCUGGAUGUGGCCAGGGGUCCCCCCCUGUGAAGAGGCCUCCUGGAAGGGGAGUGCGUGGGCUGAGGCUGGAGAGCAGCCUGACUCACGUCACACCCAGCGCCUGUCCCUCCCACGGCCUCACAGGGGCAACGUGGGAAGGGGCCCAGGACAUGGUCUGUUCUCAAACAUGGACAGGCGCAACCCCACCCACUCAUCCUUCAGAGUCAGCAAAACCCUCCUGCCAUGGUGGGGGGAGUGCAGAGCGGAGCUUCGCGGGACCCUGGGUCGAAGCGCUCAGCCGUGCACGGAAGGGGUGGUCUGCCCUGCCGAGGAAGGCGCCCCCCCACCGAGCCCUUCAGUGUCCGCCACUGGCCAGGAGCUUAUCGUGUAGAGAGCAUGUGGUCUGCAGUCUGGGGUGCCGGGCCCAGCGCCCCAUGCUUGUCGGGGGAGGGAGGGAGCGAGGGGCAGGAGGAAGGCGGACGGAGCGCAAACACGGAGCCGGUGCAGACACGGAGGCCACCGUGGCGUGGCUGGUGUGGCGCUCUGCAGGGGACUCCGGGAAGGGCGGAGCCACGCCGGAGUCGUUCUGCUGCCGCUCAGCCGUGACCCAGCCCCGGUCUCUGCAGAGGGGACCUGAGCCCAGGCGACCGACACGUUGCGAAGGAAGGGCAGAGGGCGCUGCUCCCUGCAGGGCAGCAGCCACACCCUAGACGGCCGCCCCCCAGCAAAGCAGCUCGCCCGGCCGAGGGGCGGGUCAGGGACAGUGGGCUUCGGGGCAGGGGGCCCAGUCCUGGUGCCAUCACCGGGCUGUGCGGGGCCUUCCUGCCCUGACGCUCCUGGGCCUGGAAACUGUUGGUGACUUGGACACGUCGGUGCAGGAGGGGUGUGCAGUUGGUGGGGGCGCCCUGGGGGGCCUGGCGGAUGGCAGUGUGUCCCCUCGGCACCCUCAGUAGGAGCACCUGCCGUGCCCGCCCCUGUGCCAUGGCCCUCGGCCAGGCUGGACGUCCUGCGGAUCCUCGGGGUUCAUGGCUCCCGUCCCUCUCUCCACAGACGAGGCUUCUCAGACCUUGAAGGACAAGGUGCUCCUGCAGCUGCAGCCACAGCUCCAAAGCUCCGAGCUCCUUCCCACCACGCUCAACUUGGUCCUGUACGGGCUGCCACACCAAGCCGUCGGGUAGUGCGGGCCUGGACACCGCCCUCCGCCCUGCCCCUCUGCCAACCCACGGCCCUCCCAUCCCCACCGCCGGGCUCGCUCUCCCCAGCCCUUGGUGCAGCCUCAGCCUGAGACCUUCCUCCGUGCCCUCCUGCCGGGCGGUCACCUGGACCUCCAGCUCUGCUUGCCCAUGUGCGCCAUGCGGUCUGUGUUGGGGCUGGAGCUGCGUCUCUCCCUAGGGCCAGGAAGAGCCUCCUCCCAUCAGGAGGCUUCCAAAGCCCCAGGCUCAUUUAUGCUGGCAGCAAAACCGCCUUUCCCUGGGGAGGAGGCACCCCCGGCAGAGCCCCAGGAUGCCGACAAAGGCUCUCAGCGCCACGCCGCCGCUGGGUCACUCAGACCAGGAGCACCUUUAGGACCUGUUAGGCUGUUUUCGAUUUGAGUGUUCUAGUAAACAACAAAAGCCAGUCUCUGUGCGUGGUCUCUGUGAGUGUGUGUGUGUGAUCUCCGUGAGUGUGUGUGUGUGGUCUCUGUGUGUGUGUUUGUGGUCUCUGGGAGUGUGUGUGUGUGGUCUCUGGGAGUGUGUGUGUGUGGUCUCUGGGAGUGUCUGUGUGUGGUCUCUGGGAGUGUGUGUGUGUGAUCUCCGUGAGUGUGUGUAUGGUCUCUGUGAGUGUGUGUGGUCUCUGGGAGUGUGUGUGUGUGGUCUCUGGGACUUGAGGCUCUUUGUGUGGUCUCUUCGAGUGUGUGUGUGUGGUCUCCAGGACUCAAGGCUCUGUGUGUGGUCUCUGCCACUGGGAGUGUCUGUGUGUGGUCUCUGUGAGUGUGUGUGUGUGGUCUCUGUGAGUGUCUGUGUGUGGUCUGAGUCUCUGUGUGUGGUCUCUAUGAGUCUCUGUGUGUGGUCUGAGUCUCUGUGUGUGGUCUCUAUGAGUCUCUGUGUGUGGUCUCUGCCACUCGAGUGUCUGUGUGUGGUCUCUAUGAGUCUCUGUGUGUG
Molecule: long non-coding RNA, 5884 nt
Organism: Saimiri boliviensis boliviensis (Bolivian squirrel monkey)
Lineage: Eukaryota; Metazoa; Chordata; Mammalia; Primates; Cebidae
Source: Ensembl